Molecule: ribosomal RNA, 253 nt
Filed under: uncultured bacterium
Lineage: Bacteria
Description: partial 16S ribosomal RNA
Rfam family: Bacterial small subunit ribosomal RNA
Source: RNAcentral
UACGGAGGGUGCGAGCGUUGUCCGGAAUCACUGGGCGUAAAGGGCGCGUAGGCGGCCUGAUAAGUAGGGGGUGAAAUCCUGCGGCUUAACCGCAGGGCUGCCUUCUAAACUGUCAGGCUCGAGCACAGUAGAGGCAGGUGGAAUUCCCGGUGUAGCUGUGGAAUGCGUAGAGAUCGGGAAGAACAUCAGUGGCGAAGGCGGCCUGCUGGGCUGUUGCUGACGCUGAGGAGCGAAAUCGUGGGGAGCGAACAGG